GACGAACGCUGGCGGCGUGCUUAACACAUGCAAGUCGAGCGGAAAGGCCCUGCUUUUGUGGGGUGCUCGAGUGGCGAACGGGUGAGUAACACGUGAGUAACCUGCCCUUGACUUUGGGAUAGCUUCAGGAAACUGGGGCUAAUACCGGAUAGGAGCUCCUGCUGCAUGGUGGGGGUUGGAAAGUUUCGGCGGUUGGGGAUGGACUCGCGGCUUAUCAGCUUGUUGGUGGGGUAGUGGCUUACCAAGGCUUUGACGGGUAGCCGGCCUGAGAGGGUGACCGGCCACAAUGGGACUGAGAUACGGCCCAGACUCCUACGGGAGGCAGCAGUGGGGAAUAUUGCACAAUGGGCUGAAGCCUGAUGCAGCAACGCCGCGUGCGGGAUGACGGCCUUCGGGUUGUAAACCGCUUUCGCCUGUGACGAAGCGUGAGUGACGGUAAUGGGUAAAGAAGCACCGGCUAACUACGUG
This 468-nucleotide ribosomal RNA is filed under the name uncultured bacterium. RNAcentral describes it as "partial 16S ribosomal RNA". It matches the Rfam family "Bacterial small subunit ribosomal RNA", at positions 28 to 507 of the family's 1533-position model. The record is from RNAcentral.